RNAcentral lists this transfer RNA (74 nucleotides) under Lachnospiraceae bacterium. Its description in RNAcentral is "tRNA-His". It matches the Rfam family "tRNA". Rfam says of the family: Transfer RNA (tRNA) molecules are approximately 80 nucleotides in length. Their secondary structure includes four short double-helical elements and three loops (D, anti-codon, and T loops). Further hydrogen bonds mediate the characteristic L-shaped molecular structure. tRNAs have two regions of fundamental functional importance: the anti-codon, which is responsible for specific mRNA codon recognition, and the 3' end, to which the tRNAs corresponding amino acid is attached (by aminoacyl-tRNA synthetases). tRNAs cope with the degeneracy of the genetic code in two manners: having more than one tRNA (with a specific anti-codon) for a particular amino acid; and 'wobble' base-pairing, i.e. permitting non-standard base-pairing at the 3rd anti-codon position. The record is from RNAcentral. Lineage: Bacteria; Bacillati; Bacillota; Clostridia; Lachnospirales; Lachnospiraceae.
GUGGGAGUAGCGUAGUUGGUUAACGCGCCAGAUUGUGGCUCUGGAGAGCGAGGGUUCGAGUCCCUUCUUCCACC